RNAcentral lists this ribosomal RNA (253 nucleotides) under uncultured bacterium. RNAcentral describes it as "partial 16S ribosomal RNA". It matches the Rfam family "Bacterial small subunit ribosomal RNA", at positions 524 to 776 of the family's 1533-position model. The record is from RNAcentral.
UACGUAGGGGGCAAGCGUUGUCCGGAAUCAUUGGGCGUAAAGAGCGUGUAGGCGGCCCGAUAAGUCCGCUGUGAAAGUCCAGGGCUCAACCCUGGAAUGCCGGUGGAUACUGUCGGGCUCGAAUCCGGAAGAGGUGAGUGGAAUUCCUGGUGUAGCGGUGAAAUGCGCAGAUAUCAGGAGGAACACCAAUGGCGAAGGCAGCUCACUGGGACGGUAUUGACGCUGAGACGCGAAAGCGUGGGUAGCAAACAGG